AGGAGCAGACUGCGGCGGUCCGGGAGAGGCAGUCCUUUAACUGGCAGCGGCGCUGCGGCUGGAGGCGCCGCUGCUUCUCUUUCGCCUGUCCAGUUCUAUACCUUGGCCUGUGCAGCCACCCUAGAUCCGCGAACUCUGUGCCGCCGCUCCCUCUACCCUGUCUUGCGGCGGCCAGCGCUAAGAAUUCAUGCUCCGACACUCGAUUCAGCCAGGAGGUGACAUCAGAUGUGCUCAGAAGCCGUGCCACUGGUGAGGAGGUCAUUGAGCCCCGCCUGGCCCAGGGAGGUUAUGAAGAAUUGGGAGAAGCUUAGAUCAACAUCCUGCACAUGGUUAUCAAAUCAUUGUGAAGUCUUGAAAAUCAUCUGGGAGGCCUGUUAAAAAUGCAGAUUCCUGGGCAGCCAGAAGCCUUGUCAAGAGCAACACUAAGACCUACUUGUCACUUAUAUUGAGGCUUCCUGCCCAGUGAGUUCAUCAGCAAGCCAGAGUGAAUCCCCAUUGCCAUGGAUGUCCUCGUGAGGCAGUUGGGAAGCCUUGGCUGAACUGUGAAGAAUGUCUUCUGGAAAGUGUUUUAGAGAGUCUACCAGCUCUUUCACAUGAGUGAACGUGUAGCAGAAGAGGGGAUCCUCUCGGUGAUUAAGUUUGCCUACAGGAAAAGAAUGUUCUUCAUGUGGAAACAAGUAUUCUGGUUACAUUGAUGGUCACAGAAGCUACGGUGAAUUUUCUCAUGGCCCUGAAGUGUGGUUUGUUUCCAUGGAAAAGAACCUAACAGAAGAUUGAUAACAUGGACAUGUUUCUGGCAUCAGGGAUGAGGGAGACCUGUAGAAACAAUUUGUCAAGUCCUCACCAUGAAUACCAUUGGAAUCGCAGUUGGAGUGGCACUGAAUGUGUAGAUUAAUUUUUGGAGAGCUGUCGUCUUUCUCAUCUUCUCAUACAUGAAUGUGAAGUGCUUCCUCCAUCCUGCAAGCUUCUGGGAACUCAGUGCCCACUGAAUAUAGGAUGUGUACCCAUUGAAGACCUUCAUGCCCUCCAGUAUAAGGCUAACUUGUGUUCUCACUACAGAAGUUUAGAAACAGAGAGUUUCUUCUCUCUGCUGCCUUUUGAGCUGCCAGGCACUGUGCUGGGAGAUGGGGAUAUGGAGACGAAUUUAGACACAGUCCCUGUCGUCAGGAGUUCUCAGUCUAGAGAGAGAGUUCGACAUGUACACAGAUAAUUACAACAGUAUGGUAUGCUCUACAAUGGAGGUAUGUACAAGAUAACUAUGGGGUUCAGAAGAGAAAUCAUUUGAUUGAGUAUGGAGAUGCCAGAGGUUGGAGGAACUGAUGCUUAAGUGGAUUCUUAAAAGAAAUGAAGCUUGACCAGGAAGAAAACAGGGAAGGACCGUUCAAGCAAAGGCAUGGACAUUAGAGAUAGAAUGAUGAAACGGGGGAACUACAAGUAGUUCCUGAAAUUAGGUUAGAAAUGUAGGCUGACAAUAGAUCCUUAUAUAGUGUUCCUUGAAAUGCAGAUUCCAUUUUGAGUGUUUUUGAUGGUCACUCUGGCAGUACUAUAGAGUAUGUUUUGGAAGAUUUUCAAAUCCGGGCAGGGAGAUUAGCUAGAAGGAUACUGAAGUAGGUAAGAUGGUAAAUGAUCUAAGGCCAGAAGGAGUGGGAGUGGAGAAGAGGAGCUAACCUCUUAACAAAAGGCUAUACAAACACAGACAUAAUAGAACCUGGGAAGAGUAAUAGAGGGGACAAUUAAGGCUCUCAGACUUUGGCAAAUGUCCAUUCACCUACCUCCAUCGCUGGCCUUGAUGAGAAAUGGUCUCAUGUUUUUUAGAUGGGCGUUGCUGCCGCUUUCUUCUGGACCAGGGCUUGACUGUACCAUUUUUUGCAAGUUGCGUUUUGAGAUGGUAGCUCUAUAUGAAAUGUUGAUUCUCAGAAAGACAUCUGAACAGCUGCAGACCUCUCCUAGGAUUACUUAGUUCCUGGUCCUUCUCAGCAGUAGCAGCCCUCGCUCCCUACAACAUGUCGCCCAAAGUCAGAGUGGAGGCUAUCAUCUCUAAAACCCACUCAGGGAAGAGACGGCCCUCGUUGUUACUGUCUCAGCUGUUCUCUUUUGCUUAGGGAUUUUACAGUGUUUAUGGUUAUACCUCCCAGUAAAAUGUAUUCAGUAAUCAAAAAUCUAUACAUGCAGUAUUCAUUUCCUCUUUUCUCAAAGCAAUAGGAACAUGUCCUUUGGAAAAUUCACCUAGUGCUCAGAGUAGUGACCUUGCGGGUUCAGAGAAUGGAUUUCUGUGACUAGAACGAUUAAUAGGAGAUUAUAUUUAAGUAGACCUUAUGUAUUUUCAGUGGACCCUGUGUAAGUAGCCAUCCUAGAGGGCGGUAAGGGGAAGAAGGGGUGGGAGAGGAAGCUCCGAGUAGGACAGCAAAGCAGUACAGUAAGAGUUUGGGCCUCGGAGCGAAAUAGCCUAGGCACAGACCUGCUCUUACAUUCAUUAGUGUGGUGUCAAGCAUGGUUUUUCACCUCUCUGGGACUUUCCUUUCUCUUAUGUAAAAUCCGCGUAAUAAUCUUUUUUGCAAUGAUCUGUGGGGGGAUGGAUGAUCACAAUGAUUUGUAAGGAUUUCAUGGUAUUGUUCGUGUAAAUUGCUUAGAACAAGUCUGAAGUGUGCUAAAUGCUGUAUCAACUAUGGUUGCUGCUGAUAAUGAUGUUGACCGCGACAAGGAUUGAAAGAAGAUAGUUAACUAGAAGUGCUUAUAUUUUACAUUGUCAAUGAGACUCUUGGGGUUCAAGAAAGAAAGGAAAAUGAACUGACUUGAAGGUUUUCAAUGGUAUACUAGUACGAAGUCAAUUUUCUGCCUACUUUUUCUUGUCCGCCAAAUAGGUUUGGGAAACCAGAUGAAUUUUGUCCAUGCCCUGAUCACUAAUCUAUUGCCUUUGCUCUUAUUUCCAAAUAGAAACCUGUUGAAAAGUUGUGUUAUACCUGAAUAAAGGUUAUCCUAAAAAUGUAGAAAAAUGCUUUGGAGUUGGUCAAAACUGAACUUAAAACCUGACUCAACUGCUUACUAUUUGUGUGAUCUAAGGCAUGUUACUUUACUUCAUUGAACCACAGUUUCUUCAUCUAAUACAGUAAUUCAUUUGCAGGGUUUCGGUGAGGGUAUUUGUCAAGUGUAUGUCAUAAGCACUCUAUAAAUCAUAGCUAUCAUUGUUAGUGCUUGGGAUACUCACCACGUGGCAGAAACACCAGCAGGCCCUGGUGGCUGGGAGGACUGCAUGGAUCCAACCUCAACCUGGAGUUGUGCUCUUCUGAAGAAAUCCUACUCGGAUGGAUAUAAUACAACCUGCUAAGUGUCCUAGCACUUAUCAGGUUGUAUUAUCAUUGUCCGUGUCUAUGGCUCUCGUCUACCAGACUCUAAAUUCCUUACAGGCAAGGACAGUGCCUUAUUCAUCUUUGUAUUCGGUGCCUAAUCCCGUGCACAUUGUAGGCCUCAUUAAAUGUUUGUUGAAUGAAAAACUGAAUCAUCAACAGACAUUAAUUGGGCGCCUGCUCUGUGAUCUCCAUGGGCUCAGCUUUUCCCCGCCAGUUGCCUACAACGUCCAAGCUGUCUUCAGUAUGCUUUCUCCUGAAGCUUCCUCCUAUCUUCUAAUCCUUUUGCUGAGGACUUCUCUGUAUAGUGCAAGGAUAGCAGAUACAUUUACUUCAUCUCAAGUACCAUCUCCAGCCGAUUGAGAGUACCUGCCUUGAUUAUGUUUGAUCAAAAGGAUUCUGAAGCCAGGUCUCAUUUCAGUGUGAAAGAGCGUUAAUGACUAAUCACUGAUGUUUGCCGAGGGGGGGAGAAGGGGACGUAACGGCACAAGGGCCACGUAUGUGUCAUGUUUGAUAUUAUGUUUUCCGUGAAAUAGUCUGUUUCUAUGCCUGCAUUUUAGUCUUGGCUACUUGCAGAUGUUGCAUGGCUGCUGCCGCCGCCGCUGCUCCAGUUGCUGCUGGUUGCUCCUUGGGUAGGACCAAAGUGAUCAUUGCUCAGAACCUUCAUCCUCACAGUCUGGGGUUUGUUCCUGUGGCUGAUAUUCCCAGUUUCCCCUUUCAACUUUACCUCAGCUAUCCCCUUACCUACACUGACAGGUAGGCCUCCCCUUUCCGUUUGCCACCCAACAGGCUCAUGUUUCUUUUCUUAUUUGGUAUGAUUAAUUGCUCUUGUUCCAUGAAGCCUUCUUUCUGUUAGAAGAUGUGACAACUAGAAUACAAGUUAAACGAUUCCAUCAGGGCGCUACAGUGAGUCAUAUAAGCUCCCCUUUGCUGUGGGAGAAAAUUGCAGACUUUGGGGCAGGAAGAACUGAGAAGGGAGGUGCUGUAGACAGGGGAGAGAAAGACCAUAGCAGAUGGAGUAAGAUCCUGGGAAACGGUGUAGGUUGGGAGGGUAAAACCUAUGGCUCUAAAAUUGGGGCAGAGGGAUAGCCUUGGUUGAAAGGAGUUACCUCCUCACUGGAGUAUAGGGAUAGGAGUAAGGAAGAGUAGCUGAGAAAGGGUAUUGCAAAUUCGUAACUGUUGAGGUGAAUGAUGGAGAGGAAGCUGACCAGGGACACGAUCUAAGGAAUAUUCGGGCCAAAAGGCUGGAGUGGGGCCUUUUGGUAUGUUAAAGUGAGAAACUAUUGUAUUAAAUGAUACAUGAUAUAUUCGGUUAAAGUGAGAAACUAGUUUGAAACUCAAUUAGAAACUCAGGAAAUUAUAACGUGGUCUUGGGCCACUGUCACAAGUAAAUUUGAUUGCCUGGGACUGGCCUUUAUUGAUUGAAGAGUGGACAGCUAGCAAGAGGGGGUUACACAGAAAUGAAUUUGAAAAUGCAAACUAUAUGGGGAAGGCAGUUAGGUCAGAAGUGAGCUCAAAGUCUGUGAAUAAAAAGAGGACUUAGUGUGAUCAAGAUGCGUGUUGAGUAGUUGGAAACUUAGAAUAAUUGGGCCUGUAAUCGGAGGGUGGAUUUUGAAACCUUGAGAUUUCAAAACUGGAGUGGUCAAGAUACUUGUGAAGCUGGGAUGUCAAGAUGGCCAGUUACAUAAAUACUGAAGCGACCCAGGAUUAUAGCGAAAGCUAGGCUGGGAGCGAACACUGUGGGCUGAUAGAAUAGGCUUCGGUGACUGAGGAAUGGUCAGAGGUUGGCUCAUGGCAGCUGUGCAGAUGCGAAAGAGGAAAGGAUGUAAUGGGAUAGUGGUAGAAGGAGCUGCAGAAGAGUGGCAGGUAUCAUUAGAAGUUACAAGAACUAUGAUUCGCACAUUGCACUGUGGUGCUGGCUUGCGGAAUGCCCAGCUAAAACGAUCCCCUCAUUUACUAAGUGCCUGCUCUGUCCCCGGCACCUUACUCUGUGCUACCCAUUUACCCCAUUUGGGUGUCACAUACCAGGUGUGAGAGAGUGAGCAGCAGUCCCAAGCAAGGACAGCAAGGGGAGCUGCUCGCCCUCAGAACUGAUGGAAUGCUGUGGCCAUCCCAGCAGAUUGGGCAGCUUGAAGUGGCAUAAAAAGAUUUCCUUAGGAUCAGAAGUUCCCUUGACGUUGAGCUAACUUUAUUAUGUGGUAGAAGCUUGUGUUGGCUGGUCCAUAAUGUAUUCCGGCUUCUGAGCCUCUGAGUUGAGAGGUAUGCUGGUAAAAAAGCCAAACAUAAAAACAGGCACAGCACUUUAAAAACACACAUAUUCAUUAACUGGAACAAGACAGUCGGUUAUCUAAUUGAGCUUUUAAGAUGAAGGAUAGAUGAAAGAGAGCUCACAUCGAUGGGUGAAUAACGAAACCACUUCGUGAAAGCCACUCUGAGGUCAGGGUGCCUCCAGUUUGGUGGACGUGUUGUAGAUAAUCCGCUGUGCUGUUGGGAAGGAGGGCUGGAAACUGACCCAGAAAGAUGGCCUUUAGGACCCGGAAGGGUCAAGUUUAGGAGAAGAGAGUCUCUGUGAACCCUGUGGCAUUGCACGUAGUCUCAUUUUUCUGCAGUUAUAGUCUUCACAUGAGUCAGUAUUUCAAUGAAGGUUUAGAGCCACUGUGAUAGAGUGACCAGGCCCUCAGACAGCCUAUCCCCUCCUGUGGAGGCUGCUUUAUAUUUAUUCCUCAGGAGGAUCUGGUAGAAGACUUCGUGUGAGGGAGAAGAAAAGGCAAGAAGCGGAGAAUGACUACAGCCCGUCCUCGUCUCUGUGACCCAGCAGAGGGAUCGUCCUCUUGAGACUCUCCAGACCACAGGCCAUCUGUAACAGUCGUCAUCUGGGAGGAGCCUUAUUGUGAAUGAGUGAAUGAAGCCUCAGUGAGUGUUUGGAGUGACACCCAUGUUUUUUCUCUGAAUAUAAGGAGAGGGAAGGAGGCCAUGAAAUGCCAUAAUAGAGUAACAAAAAUAUGACAUUUUAGUAGAUACUGGACCUAGAAGCCUACAUGAAUGCAGGAAACAAAUGUGAGAGACCUCGGGUGUGUAUGAAUGAAGAUAGGAGUGAACGCCUUAUUGCCCUUAGUAAUGGAGGAAGAGAGAGGAGAAAAGUGAAGGAGGUCAUAAAAUCCUUUAUGUCCCCAGAGGAGGCCCUGAGACUUGCUUCAUAAACCAGGGACUUUUUAAGGUGGAUUGAAGAUGAGUCGUUGCUCUGCACUACUUCGGUUGCCAUCUGUGUGAGAGUCGUUCCAAGCACUCUUCUCAGGUACAGCUGCUUUGUGGCGAUUUCUCUUGAGCCCUGUUGAGCAACAACCCAGAACAAGGUUUGCAACUCAGAACUCUCUGGAUCAGUGACAGAGGGGGAUCAAGGACAGAGGAGGUAGCCCAGGUAGUACCAAAUCGCUUGGGUUUUUUUAUAUAGGAUGGAUGGGGUAGAGGCGAGGAACACAGUGGUUCUAGGCAACUCCAAACACCUGGUAAGGCAUGAGGAAAGAGUACACUGAAAGGUCAGCCCUUGGACCUAUUCUUUGUCAAUCCCCAGAGCAUGAUAAAAUAUCUAAGAGUUAUAAAAGAUUCUUUCAUAGAAGAGAUUUAGAAGAGGGGAACUUCUGAUUAUGUAAUAUGGGCAUUACGGCUUUUAAAGACAUCUGCUGCCUACAUAGGUCAUGGAGAUUGAUACCAGUUAGGAUCAGCCUGUGGCUGCCUAGGCCAGUACUGACAUAGAGCUUUCAUGCCCUCGGAGAGCUACUGCCACUCUCUUGCUUUGACAGGUGUUCAUCUACAGUAUGAGUCCAGUGCUUGAAGGAGCAAGAGGACAGCAGGCAUCCCGGGGGCAGCAGUGUGGUCUUCUGAGUGAAGAUGGCAACAGUAAAGAUCAUGGACUUGGCUGGAUUGGGCUGGGCUUGUUUGUUGUUUCAGAAUUUAAAAAAUACUUUUUUUCUUGAUGAUAAAAGUAACAGAUGAUCAUUGUUGAAAAAUCAAAGGUAUAAAUUAAAAAGUAAAGAACACCUAUAAUCUUGUAACCCAGAAAACAGCUCAACAUGCGAGUGUGUUUCCUUUUGCCUUUUUAAUUAAAAAAGAAUAUCUGUAACACAAUUUUUUCAAGUUUUUAUUUUAAUUCCAGUUAGUAAACACACAGCGUUCUAUUCAUUUCAGGUGUACAAUUUAAAAACAAAAUUGACAUCACGUUGUAUAUGUUCUGUAUCUCUUUUGUUUGAAAAUAAUAUAUUUCCAUGUCAUUAGCAUUCUUUGAAAACACAGUAUUGUUAUGUAAUAUUUCAUAUGGAUGUAACAAAAUUUAGGUAGAUGAUUGUAUGUUGCUGGACACUUUGCAUAUUACCAAUUUUGCCUAUAAAAUGUAAUAAACAUCAUUGUACAUUAGUCAUUAUGUACAUUUCUAAUUAUUUCUUUGCAGUAAAUUUCUGGAAUUAGAAUUACUGAGUUUGAUGAGAGCAUUACUAGGGCAUCUGAAAGAUACUGUUGAAUUGUCCUCAGUAUAGUUGUAAAAAUUACAUUCCCGUCAGUGGUGUAUAAAUGUGCAUAUUUCUCCACACGUUCAUCAAAAUAUGGCCUUUCUUUUUAUAAAUCCCUGCUCAUUUAAUAGGUAAAAAUAUACUAAUGUUCUAUUAGAGAUUUGUAUUUGUAAUUUACAUAUAGUAAAAUUCAGUCCUGAUUUAUAGUUCUAUGGGUUUUUUAAAAUAUUUUAUUCAUUUAUUUAUUUGAGAGAGUGUGUGCACACGUGGGGGGAGGGGCAGGGGGAGAAGCAGGCUCCCCGCUGGGCAGGGAGCCCGAUAUGGGACUCAAUCCCAGGACCCUAAGGUCAUGACCUGAGCCGAAGGAAGACACUUAACUGACUGAGCCACCCAGGCGCCCCUGUUCUAUGGGUUUUGACAAGUAUAGUCAUGUAUACUACUUCAGUACCACUUGAAACAGUUUUAUUACUAAUAUUUUCUCCCAAUUGUUCUUUUUGUUGUAAACCACUUUUCCCAUUCCCAAUCCCUGAAAACCACUGAUUUGUUCUCCAUCCCUAUGGUUUUUCCCUUUCCAGAGGUGAUAUGAUUGGAAUCGUGCAAUAUGUAGAUAUUUUGGUCUGGUUUUUCACAGAGAAAUGCAUUUAAGAUUCAUCCAUGUUACGAGGAUCAUUAGUUUAUCCCUUUUUAUUGUUGUACUUCAUUGUAUGAAUGUACCACAGUAUUUUAUACAUUCACUAAUUGAUGGGCAUAUGAGAUGUUUCCAGUUUGGGCAAUUAUGAAUAAAGUUGCUAUAAACUUUCAGUUA
Long non-coding RNA from Ailuropoda melanoleuca (giant panda), 8651 nucleotides. RefSeq lists it as uncharacterized. The transcript has 10 exons. Lineage: Eukaryota; Metazoa; Chordata; Mammalia; Carnivora; Ursidae. The record is from RefSeq and is a predicted model, not a curated record.